CCUACGGGGGGCAGCAGUGGGGAAUAUUGCACAAUGGGGGAAACCCUGAUGCAGCGACGCCGCGUGAGCGAAGAAGUAUUUCGGUAUGUAAAGCUCUAUCAGCAGGGAAGAAAAUGACGGUACCUGAGUAAGAAGCUCCGGCUAAAUACGUGCCAGCAGCCGCGGUAAUACGUAUGGAGCAAGCGUUAUCCGGAUUUACUGGGCGUAAAGGGAGCGUAGGCGGCCUGCCAAGUCUGAUGUGAAAUACCGGGGCUCAACCCCGGGGCUGCAUUGGAAACUGGCAGGCUGGAGGGCCGGAGAGGCAGGCGGAAUUCCAGGUGUAGGAGUGAAAUCCGUAGAUAUCUGGAGGAACAUCAGUGGCGAAGGCGACUAUCUGGCACAUAACUGACGCUGAGGAGCGAAAGCGUGGGUAGCAAACAGGAUUAGAUACCCGUGUAGUC
This 440-nucleotide ribosomal RNA is filed under the name uncultured bacterium. Its description in RNAcentral is "partial 16S ribosomal RNA". It matches the Rfam family "Bacterial small subunit ribosomal RNA", at positions 338 to 795 of the family's 1533-position model. The record is from RNAcentral.